Molecule: ribosomal RNA, 468 nt
Filed under: uncultured bacterium
Lineage: Bacteria
Description: partial 16S ribosomal RNA
Rfam family: Bacterial small subunit ribosomal RNA
Source: RNAcentral
GACAAACGCUGGCGGCGUGCUUAACACAUGCCAGUCGAACGGAAAGGCCCUGCUUUUGUGGGGUGCUCGAGUGGCGAACGGGUGAGUAACACGUGAGUAACCUGCCCUUGACUUUGGGAUAACUUCAGGAAACUGGGGCUAAUACCGGAUAGGAGCUCCUGCUGCAUGGUGGGGGUUGGAAAGUUUCGGCGGUUGGGGAUGGACUCGCGGCUUAUCAGCUUGUUGGUGGGGUAGUGGCUUACCAAGGCUUUGACGGGUAGCCGGCCUGAGAGGGUGACCGGCCACAAUGGGACUGAGAUACGGCCCAGACUCCUACGGGAGGCAGCAGUGGGGAAUAUUGCACAAUGGGCGGAAGCCUGAUGCAGCAACGCCGCGGGCGGGAUGACGGCCUUCGGGUUGUAAACCGCUUUCGCCUGUGACGAAGCGUGAGUGACGGUAAUGGGUAAAGAAGCACCGGCUAACUACGUG